Molecule: ribosomal RNA, 209 nt
Filed under: uncultured bacterium
Lineage: Bacteria
Description: partial 16S ribosomal RNA
Rfam family: Bacterial small subunit ribosomal RNA
Source: RNAcentral
CGCGUAGGCGGGGAGGUAAGUCGGGUGUGAAAUCCCUCGGCCUAACCGAGGAACUGCGCCCGAGACUGCUUCUCUUGAGUCCCGGAGAGGAAGAUGGAAUUCCCGGUGUAGCGGUGAAAUGUGUAGAGAUCGGGAGGAACACCGGUGGCGAAGGCGGUCUUCUGGACGGUGACUGACGCUGAGGCGCGAAAGCGUGGGGAGCAAAACGG